AAUGAACGCUGGCGGCAUGCCUAACACAUGCAAGUCGAACGAAGGCUUCGGCCUUGGUGGCGCACGGGUGCGUAACGCGUGGGAAUCUGCCCUCAGGUUCGGAAUAACAGCGAGAAAUUGCUGCUAAUACCGGAUGAUAUCGCGAGAUCAAAGAUUUAUCGCCUGAGGAUGAGCCCGCGUAGGAUUAGCUAGUUGGUGUGGUAAAGGCGCACCAAGGCGACGAUCCUUAGCUGGUCUGAGAGGAUGAUCAGCCACACUGGGACUGAGACACGGCCCAGACUCCUACGGGAGGCAGCAGUGGGGAAUAUUGGACAAUGGGCGAAAGCCUGAUCCAGCAAUGCCGCGUGAGUGAUGAAGGCCUUAGGGUUGUAAAGCUCUUUUACCCGGGAUGAUAUUGACAGUACCGGGAGAAUAAGCUCCGGCUAACUCCGUGCCAGCCGCCGCGGUAA
Molecule: ribosomal RNA, 449 nt
Filed under: uncultured bacterium
Lineage: Bacteria
Description: partial 16S ribosomal RNA
Rfam family: Bacterial small subunit ribosomal RNA
Source: RNAcentral